GACGAACGCUGGCGGCGUGCCUAAUACAUGCAAGUCGAGCGAAGCGGCGGUUGGGUGAGUAACGCGUGGGUAACCUGCCCUUAAGCCUGGGAUACCACUUGGAAACAGAUGCUAAUACCGGAUACUGAAGGAUGGACCUGCGAUGCAUUAGCUAGUUAGUAAGGUAACGGCUUACCAAGGCGAUGAUGCAUAGCCGGGUUGAGAGACUGAUCGGCCGCAUGGGGACUGAGCCCCGGCCCAAACUCCUACGGGAGGCAGCAGUAGGGAAUCUUCCGCAAGGGACGAAAGUCUGAUGGAGCAACGCCGCGUGAGUGAAGAAGGUUUUCGGAUCGUAAAGCUCUGUUGUUGGUGAAGCGGUAAUCAACCAGAAAGUCACGGCUAACUACGUGCCAGCAGCCGCGGUAAUAC
Molecule: ribosomal RNA, 408 nt
Filed under: uncultured bacterium
Lineage: Bacteria
Description: partial 16S ribosomal RNA
Rfam family: Bacterial small subunit ribosomal RNA
Source: RNAcentral